CUGCCAUGUGACAAGCAGUUCUGCAGGUGCACUUUAUGGCCCAUUCUCUACCAUGGUUGUUGCUCCUCCUUGGUCUUUUCAUAGGGUCAGGAACACUGGGAGAAGAUACAGUGGGGAAGAUAUCCUUGGGGAGUUGGCCACUUGGCCCCUGGAGGUCCCAGCAGAGCAAGAGGUAGAAAGUGUUACAUGGAGCUCUUGAGAGCGUGUUGCUGUUUUACAACAAGGAUGAACAGACAAACCAGUUCUGGUUUCUGAGACUCAGGGACCCUACAGUGGAUGACUGAACAUUCCCCACCACAGCUACUCUCUUCAGAUCAGCCCCCUGAGGCUGCAGGACUAUAAGCCUAUAAGCCUGGGUAACUCUGCAUACUUCCUCAAUCAUUAUCACCAGGGAUUUCACCCUGCUUGUCUAUGGUAAGGAGGGCUGGAGGGCCCCACAUUUGAAACUGAGCUUUCCUCUACCCUGUUUGGCCAGACCAGAGCCUUCUCAUAGCUCAAGCUUUCCCUUCUUGGUUCAGAGAUGCUGUAGGAGUUGAACAUCUUUGCCAGCUCCCAGAUCAUGAAGGAUGGGACCUGCUUCAUCACCCUGGCCUGCUCCCUGGAACAGGCUGGAGAGAAUGUGCAGAACAGCUGGGAGCCUCCUAGUCAUGGGGCAGUUGUGUCCCAUGGGGGGACCACUCUCAGUGUCCCCUGGAUAUCUGGGGAAAGUGAGAGCUAUCACUGCACUGCCAGGAAUCCCACCAGCCAGAGCUCCAGCUCUGUCCUUACCAGACCCCUUUGCUCAGCCUCCUUUGUACCCCACUCCCUGAGGAAAGAAUUUCUUCCUUUUUUGAUUCUGGGAGUUUUGGGGAUUGAAUAGAUUUCACCUGGACAUGGGGAGAAACCAAGAAGAGAAGUACGAGAUGGCGGCCAUCCUGUGAGACACAGAGUUAAAGAAGUUCGCAUGUGGAGUGCUGCCUGAGGCCAGCAUUUCCUGGUGUGAGAGAAGGACAUUGACACUGAUUAAGGCAUAAACCCUAUUUCAUUUACAAACUGAGUUCAAAAUUAUCAGGAAACUGCUAUGUGUCUUCUGUUUAAAAUAAUCUGUUUAUGUUUUAUUGAAGUGUGUUUUUAAGUGUUCAGAAAGAAAAAGGAGCUUAUUUAUUUAAGAAAAAUUGAAUGGAACAUAAAAACAUUGUUAUUGUCACACA
This 1190-nucleotide long non-coding RNA is filed under the name Homo sapiens (human). RNAcentral's name for it is "HSALNT0296180". Lineage: Eukaryota; Metazoa; Chordata; Mammalia; Primates; Hominidae. The record is from RNAcentral.